UGACAUGAGAGAAAAAGCAUUUUACCCAUCUCAUUACUGACAGAUAUAAGACUGAGCAAGACAGAUGAAAAAACCUCUAAAGGAUUUCGAUGUGGAAAAAAGGAUGUAGAAAGCAGAAAGAGGCUGAUUGGGUCACUAGUCAGAAUGCUCUGCUAAUGGCCACAGGCCAUCACCGACCGGCUUCCUCUUUAAGGAUAAUGAGAGCCUCAGACGAAUGGUGGUUCCCUGAAGAAUGAAAACAUGAAAGAGGACUUCCCCAAAGCCAUUGGGUGGAGCACAAAGGAUGUGGAAAGACUGGAGGGCUGGAGAGUAAAGACGAUGAGAGAUAAAGGCAAGGAAUUCAAGCACCAUGAACACCAACAACUGAAUAAGUUGCCUUGGCCUUCGUUGACCAUCAGCUGGUGAGGCUGUUGGAGUCCACUGUUUUGCUUCUGUGACUCUGAAUAAGGCCAAUAUCAUGAACUCUAUAGUGAAUCUCAGUUUCAAAGUAUUUAAUGACACUUUAAAUUAUUCAUGAAUCAAUUUAAUUAAGAGGUUAGAAAGAAUUUCUACUCUUUAGGUAGUGACAACAAGGUUUCAAUUUCAGCAUCAGUAUAGGUGCCUCAGCAGAUUUUAUUAGGCUUUUUUCAUACAGAAUACCUAAAUCAGUAUACAAGAGCCAAUCAAGAUGUAUUAGAAACACCAUUCAUGUAAAUUUAAGUGGAAGAAUUACUUUCUGUUCUUAAAUGUCCGAGAUGUAAGCUUCUUUACUGUAAAUACAGGCUUGGUUUUACAGGUGGAUAUGUGAUUACAAGUAUUUUCUAUAUACUGAAUAAAAUACCUUAGUAAUGCUGGUAAGUCACUUCAGGAAUCUUGACUUUUAUGUUUGAACACCACCAUCUAUGCCAAUAAUGUCUGACUUUUGUAUUAGUUAUUUUUAUUUCUUUUCCCCUUUUCUAAUACCAGUUGUUUGGAUGGUUUAAUAAAUCCAACUGGAUAUUAUUGAUUUCUUACCUAUAUUUUCUUUCCUUUCUUCCUCCAUGCAUUCUGAUUAGCAUAUUCUCAUUGCAUAUCCCAUAAAGGAAAAUUAGGAAAAAUGUGUCACCCUGUAAGCCAUUUUCUCAUACUAUCACGAGAAAGAAACAUGUUACAGGACUCUUCUACAACUGACUUCAUCUUUGUAAUUUUAUUUAGAAUUCUAAAAAGUGAGCAGAAAGUCAUAAACCAAGAUCAAAGUCUAAUUUGCAUUUA
Molecule: long non-coding RNA, 1230 nt
Organism: Melopsittacus undulatus (budgerigar)
Lineage: Eukaryota; Metazoa; Chordata; Aves; Psittaciformes; Psittaculidae
Exons: 3
Source: RefSeq, a predicted model, not a curated record